RNAcentral lists this ribosomal RNA (279 nucleotides) under uncultured Clostridium sp. RNAcentral's name for it is "partial 16S ribosomal RNA". It matches the Rfam family "Bacterial small subunit ribosomal RNA", at positions 8 to 286 of the family's 1533-position model. The record is from RNAcentral. Lineage: Bacteria; Bacillati; Bacillota; Clostridia; Eubacteriales; Clostridiaceae.
AGAGUUUGAUCCUGGCUCAGGACGAACGCUGGCGGCGUGCUUAACACAUGCAAGUCGAGCGAUGAAGCUCCUUCGGGAGUGGAUUAGCGGCGGACGGGUGAGUAACACGUGGGUAACCUGCCUCAUAGAGGGGAAUAGCCUUUCGAAAGGAAGAUUAAUACCGCAUAAGAUUGUAGUACCGCAUGGUACAGCAAUUAAAGGGGUAAUCCGCUAUGAGAUGGACCCGCGUCGCAUUAGCUAGUUGGUGAGGUAACGGCUCACCAAGGCGACGAUGCGUAG